AUCUCAGGUUUAGCUAACUCUCAGAUUUCUCCAGUUUUGAUCCCUCAAACUAUCCCAAACAGCAGUUAUCAUCUAUUGUGUUUUUUUGGGUGUAACAUCAUGCUAUUGUUCCGACCAAUAAUAUUGUCACUGUCCAAAAUCGAUCGUCAUGAACGUGUCAUGACUUUUUUUUGUACACAACCAUUUGGAGUUCUACAUCUCACCC
Molecule: long non-coding RNA, 205 nt
Filed under: Brassica napus (rape)
Lineage: Eukaryota; Viridiplantae; Streptophyta; Magnoliopsida; Brassicales; Brassicaceae
Description: long non-coding RNA (BNAP_LNC000244)
Source: RNAcentral